GAGAGAGAGAAAGAGAGAGAAACCUAGUGAGAUUUGUGGAGAGAGGAAGGCUAGACUUGUUUUUCUCGUUCUUGCAUAACUCCAGAAGGUGGGACAGACUGGUGUAAACAGAGCAGGAUGUGACAGUAGACAGACAAGGCUGUUGGACUGGGCUGGAGGAAUACACGCGGACACACACCAAAAGAUGUCUGGGACACCACCCCCAGUACGUUCUAGGAAGCCAUCAGGUGUUAGAGUCAUGCCCCAUGAUGGUCAACUUCCUUCGCAUGGCUACGCAAAGGGGUUCAAAGUGAAUGGGGCAAGUAGUGAGCCAAAAUACACAUCUCGAGGACAUGCAGAGAGAGAGGUGGAGAUCCUAAACCACUGUUUUGAUGACGUGGAGCGCUUCAUGGGACGCCUGCAGCAGGCUGCUGAGGCUCAGGUUGCAUCCUCAAC
Molecule: long non-coding RNA, 435 nt
Organism: Oncorhynchus masou masou (cherry salmon)
Lineage: Eukaryota; Metazoa; Chordata; Actinopteri; Salmoniformes; Salmonidae
Exons: 4
Source: RefSeq, a predicted model, not a curated record